RNAcentral lists this unclassified non-coding RNA (496 nucleotides) under fungal sp. JH 123. RNAcentral describes it as "sequence contains 18S rRNA gene, ITS1, 5.8S rRNA gene, ITS2 and 28S rRNA gene". The stretch from base 186 to 339 matches the Rfam family "5.8S ribosomal RNA". Lineage: Eukaryota; Fungi. The record is from RNAcentral.
GAAGGAUCAUUACAGUAGUCACCCAGGUUGCCGCAAGGCCUCCUGGGUAACCUACCACCCUUUGUUUAUUACACUUUGUUGCUUUGGCAAGCCUGCCCUCGGGCUGCUGGCUCCGGCCGGCGAGCGCUUGCCAGAGGACCUAAACUCUGUUUGUCUAUACUGUCUGAGUACUAUAUAAUAGUUAAAACUUUCAACAACGGAUCUCUUGGUUCUGGCAUCGAUGAAGAACGCAGCGAAAUGCGAUAAGUAAUGUGAAUUGCAGAAUUCAGUGAAUCAUCGAAUCUUUGAACGCACAUUGCGCCCCCUGGUAUUCCGGGGGGCAUGCCUGUCCGAGCGUCAUUACAACCCUCAAGCUCAGCUUGGUAUUGGGCCCCGCCGACCCGGCGGGCCCUAAAGUCAGUGGCGGUGCCGUCCGGCUCCGAGCGUAGUAAUUCUUCUCGCUCUGGAGGUCCGGUCGUGUGCUCGCCAGCAACCCCCAAUUUUUUUCAGGUGACCU